RNAcentral lists this ribosomal RNA (254 nucleotides) under uncultured bacterium. RNAcentral's name for it is "partial 16S ribosomal RNA". It matches the Rfam family "Bacterial small subunit ribosomal RNA", at positions 524 to 776 of the family's 1533-position model. The record is from RNAcentral.
UACAGAGGGUGCAAGCGUUGUUCGGAAUUAUUGGGCGUAAAGCGCGUGUAGGCGGCCGUGCAAGUCGGGUGUGAAAGCCCUCGGCUCAACCGAGGAAGUGCGCCCGAAACUGCAUGGCUUGAGUACCGGAGAGGGUGGCGGAAUUCCCCAAGUAGAGGUGAAAUUCGUAGAUAUCGGGAGGAACACCAGUAGCGAAGGCGGCACUCUGGGCCGUGACUGGACGCUGAGGAGCAAAAGCGUGGGUAGCAAACAGG